GAUGAAGAACGCAGCGAAAUGCGAUACGUAAUGUGAAUUGCAGAAUUCAGUGAAUCAUCGAAUCUUUGAACGCACAUUGCGCUCUCUGGUAUUCCGGAGAGCAUGCUUGUUUGAGUAUCAGUAAACACCUCAACUCCUUUAUUGUAGUUGGACUUGAGCUAUCCCAACAGGACUUUUUGUUCCUGGCGGGAGGCUUGAAAUGCAGGUGCAGCUGGACUUUCUUCUGAGCUAUAAGCAUAUUUAUUUAAUCCCUUAACACGGAUUAUUACUUUUUUGCUGCAGCUAACAUAAAGGUUGAAUUUCCAUUGAGCUGACUGAUGCAGGAAUUUGGCAAGGAAUUUUUUUAAUGACUUGUUAAACUCGAUCUCAAAUCAAGUAAGACUACCCGCUGAACUUAAGCAUAUCAUAAGCGGAGGA
Molecule: unclassified non-coding RNA, 417 nt
Filed under: soil metagenome
Description: partial contains 5.8S ribosomal RNA, internal transcribed spacer 2, and large subunit ribosomal RNA
Rfam family: 5.8S ribosomal RNA (bases 1-120)
Source: RNAcentral